Molecule: small nucleolar RNA, 124 nt
Filed under: Procavia capensis (Cape rock hyrax)
Lineage: Eukaryota; Metazoa; Chordata; Mammalia; Hyracoidea; Procaviidae
Description: Small Cajal body specific RNA 4 (ENSPCAG00000020181.1)
Rfam family: Small Cajal body specific RNA 4
About the family: scaRNAs are a specific class of small nuclear RNAs which localise to the Cajal bodies and guide the modification of RNA polymerase II transcribed spliceosomal RNAs U1, U2, U4, U5 and U12. ACA26 belongs to the H/ACA box class of guide RNAs as it has the predicted hairpin-hinge-hairpin-tail structure, conserved H/ACA-box motifs and is found associated with GAR1.
Source: RNAcentral
GCUGGCGCACCAAGAAAGCAGAAUCUCAUGAAGCAAGAUUGCUGAUAGCAAUUCUAGAACAACGAAUUGAAGAGAGCAGCCCUUAGUGAAAAUAUUACAGGGAUGCCUGUACUAUCCAGUUUGU